This 287-nucleotide ribosomal RNA is filed under the name Bacillus subtilis. RNAcentral describes it as "partial 16S ribosomal RNA". It matches the Rfam family "Bacterial small subunit ribosomal RNA", at positions 774 to 1060 of the family's 1533-position model. The record is from RNAcentral. Lineage: Bacteria; Bacillati; Bacillota; Bacilli; Caryophanales; Bacillaceae.
CGGUUUAAAUUCCCUUGUUGUCCCCCCCGUAAACGAUGAGUUUUAAGUUUUAGGGGGUUUCCGCCCUUUAGUGGUGCAGAUAACGCAUUAAGCACUCCGCGUGGGGAGUACGGUCGCAAGACUGAAACUCAAAGGAAUUGACGGGGGCCCGCACAAGCGGUGGAGCAUGUGGUUUAAUUAGAAGCAACGAGAAGAACCUUACCAGGUCUUGACAUCCUGUGACAAUCCUAGAGAUAGGACUUCCCCUUCGGGGGCAGAGUGACAGGUGGUGCAUGGUGUCGUCAGCU